Molecule: long non-coding RNA, 321 nt
Filed under: Panax ginseng (ginseng)
Lineage: Eukaryota; Viridiplantae; Streptophyta; Magnoliopsida; Apiales; Araliaceae
Description: long non-coding RNA (PGIN_LNC009494)
Source: RNAcentral
GCAGUAGUAUGGGAAGAAUGAAGAUGUACGGCUCACAAACAUCAGCAAUUUUAGUUUGCAUGGAUUUCCUUUUUGGUUGUAGAGAAUUGUAAACAGUUAGACACCUACGAUGCACAUCAAAAGACAACAACAACCAAUGGUCCGGUGAUGACAUAUGAAUUGGGAACAACACAUAGUCAACGUUCUUCCAUGGUGUGUUGACAUCCAUAAACAGCCCAUGUAUGUAUUCAGCAACAUCACCCUCCCCAGACAGAACAAUUUUGUCACAAUUUUUUUUUGUAUACUCCUCGAAAAGAGCGGUGAUCUUAUUGUGAAACCAAC